RNAcentral lists this ribosomal RNA (468 nucleotides) under uncultured bacterium. RNAcentral describes it as "partial 16S ribosomal RNA". It matches the Rfam family "Bacterial small subunit ribosomal RNA", at positions 28 to 507 of the family's 1533-position model. The record is from RNAcentral.
GACGAACGCUGGCGGCGUGCCUAACACAUGCAAGUCGAACGGAAAGGCCCUGCUCUUGUGGCGUGCUCGAUUGGCGAACGGGUGAGUAACACGUGAGUAACCUGCCCUUGACUUUGGGAUAACUUCAGGAAACUGGGGCUAAUACCGGAUAGGAUCUCCUGCUGCAUGGUGGGGGUUGGAAAGUUUCGGCGGUUGGGGCUGGACUCGCAGCUUAUGCGCUUGUUUGUGAGGUAGUGGCUUACCAAGGCUGUGACGGGUAGGCCGCCUGAGAGCUUAGACGGCCACAAUGGUACUGAGGGACGCACCAGACGCGUACGGGAGGCAGCAGUGGGAAAUAUUACGCAAUAAGGGGGAGUCAGAGACAACAGCGCCGGGUGCGGAAUAACGGCUUACGAGUUAUAAACCGAUGUCGAAUGAAACGAGGCGGGAGUGACGGUAAUGGGUAAGAAAGCACCGGCUAACUACGUG